Molecule: non-coding RNA, 29 nt
Filed under: Rattus norvegicus (Norway rat)
Lineage: Eukaryota; Metazoa; Chordata; Mammalia; Rodentia; Muridae
Source: RNAcentral
CCCAAUCUGUUGGUUGCCGUUUUGUCCUA